UGGGAUGUAGCUCAGUUGGUACAGUGCUUGCCUAACAUGCACGAAGCCCUGGGUUCAAUCUCCAGCAUGGCAU
This 73-nucleotide transfer RNA is filed under the name Neotoma lepida (desert woodrat). It matches the Rfam family "tRNA". Rfam says of the family: Transfer RNA (tRNA) molecules are approximately 80 nucleotides in length. Their secondary structure includes four short double-helical elements and three loops (D, anti-codon, and T loops). The record is from Rfam by way of RNAcentral. Lineage: Eukaryota; Metazoa; Chordata; Mammalia; Rodentia; Cricetidae.